Molecule: ribosomal RNA, 439 nt
Filed under: uncultured bacterium
Lineage: Bacteria
Description: partial 16S ribosomal RNA
Rfam family: Bacterial small subunit ribosomal RNA
Source: RNAcentral
CUACGGGUGGCAGCAGUGGGGGAUAUUGCACAAUGGGGGGAACCCUGAUGCAGCGACGCCGCGUGGGUGAAGAAGCGCCUCGGCGCGUAAAGCCCUGUCAGCAGGGAAGAAAAUGACGGUACCUGAAGAAGAAGCCCCGGCUAACUACGUGCCAGCAGCCGCGGUAAUACGUAGGGGGCAAGCGUUAUCCGGAAUUACUGGGUGUAAAGGGAGAGUAGGCGGCAAGGUAAGCGAUAUGUGAAAGCCUUAAGCUUAACUUAAGGAUGGCAUAACGAACUAUCUAGCUAGAGUACAGGAGAGGAAAGCGGAAUUCCUAGUGUAGCGGUGAAAUGCGUAGAUAUUAGGAAGAACACCAGUGGCGAAGGCGGCUUUCUGGACUGAAACUGACGCUGAGGCUCGAAAGCGUGGGGAGCGAACAGGAUUAGAUACCCCGGUAGUC